CUGUUGUAUGCUCAUACUCUGCUAUUUUCUAUCUUCCAGAAUAUAAUUUGUGCUUUCCUCAACCCUAUACAGCUUCACAAAGGAAUCCACAUAUGGUCUGAAAACCGCCUCCCUACGUCAACUGGCCAGUUGGAGCCCCGGAGUCUUGUGCCUCCAAAGAAGUUGGCAGCAGACUUCGACUUCUGGCCAUUGGAUGGUGGGCACUGCCAAUUUGUGUCUUGAAUGGAAUAACGAGGGUAUUAAGAUGCAUUUUCUAUGAGCCACCUCUGAACAUCACCCCUGUGAUAUCCUUUGGUGCCACUUUGCUGAUGGAAGAAGCUCGAGGUGAAUGAUUUUUGAACCUUCAUCACUGAGGAUAACGUGAAGCUAGUCACUUGCCAUCUGGCUACACCUGAACAUGCCAAACCGCAUUACAUGGAAGGAGUUCCAGAAAGAUAUGUUGCAGACCCCAAGAAGGAAUGACUCCUUAGACAUGGACAGAGCAAGGAAUGUUGUACCCGGAGAGUGGCAAGUGCCUUCUGAUUAAAAUCUGGCAAUUCUGUGAAGCUGCUAGCUGGAGAGAACAAAACAGCUAAGGAUUCAAGCAUCUGACCAUUCUGGUGCAUCAUUCUCUUCUCAUUGGAACAUCUACAGGUAUUAUUAAACCCAUUUACAUUUACAAAAGCACUUGCUUUUGAAGCAUGUUAAACAGUUUGCCCAAUAUUGCACCUCCAGUAUGUGGGAAAACAG
Molecule: long non-coding RNA, 729 nt
Filed under: Mustela putorius furo (domestic ferret)
Lineage: Eukaryota; Metazoa; Chordata; Mammalia; Carnivora; Mustelidae
Description: lncRNA (ENSMPUG00000027896.1)
Source: RNAcentral